UCCCUGGUAGCCUAAUGGUUAAGGGCUUGGCAUUGUCACUGCUCUGGCUCUGGUUAUUGCUGUGUCUUGGGUUUGAUCCCUGGCCUGGGAA
RNAcentral lists this transfer RNA (91 nucleotides) under Sus scrofa (pig). It matches the Rfam family "tRNA". From Rfam's summary of the family: Transfer RNA (tRNA) molecules are approximately 80 nucleotides in length. The record is from Rfam by way of RNAcentral. Lineage: Eukaryota; Metazoa; Chordata; Mammalia; Artiodactyla; Suidae.